RNAcentral lists this ribosomal RNA (255 nucleotides) under Shouchella rhizosphaerae. RNAcentral's name for it is "partial 23S ribosomal RNA". It matches the Rfam family "Bacterial large subunit ribosomal RNA", at positions 2218 to 2472 of the family's 2925-position model. The record is from RNAcentral. Lineage: Bacteria; Bacillati; Bacillota; Bacilli; Caryophanales; Bacillaceae.
CAUUCUAACCUCGACCCGUGAUCCGGGCCAGGGACAUUGUCAGGUGGGCAGUUUGACUGGGGCGGUCGCCUCCUAAACAGUAACGGAGGCGCCCAAAGGUUCCCUCAGAAUGGUUGGAAAUCAUUCGCAGAGUGCAAAGGCAGAAGGGAGCUUGACUGCGAGACCUACAAGUCGAGCAGGGACGAAAGUCGGGCUUAGUGAUCCGGCGGUGCCGUAUGGAAGGGCCGUCGCUCAACGGAUAAAAGCUACCCUGGG